Molecule: long non-coding RNA, 2424 nt
Organism: Tarenaya hassleriana
Lineage: Eukaryota; Viridiplantae; Streptophyta; Magnoliopsida; Brassicales; Cleomaceae
Exons: 2
Source: RefSeq, a predicted model, not a curated record
CUCUAAAUAUUUCAAUAACCUAACAAAUUACAAAAGCAUCACUCUUUCUUCUUCCCCUUCUGCUUCUUCUUAUCCACAAGACAUGAAGUCCGGCAACAAACUUUCCGGCGAUGAUUUUCCGGCCAAGAGAUCGCCGGAAAAUACUACCGUCGGGGAUAAAUUACGGGAUGCCGCUUCCAAAGUUAUAACCAGAAAGUUUUUCGGUUCGGACGAUCGUGGAAAACGAAAUUGGACCGAACGGUCGGAAGAUCCAAUUAGAAUUAUGAUAUUCUUAGGUUCAUGGAACCAUACAUAGAUGUUAUAUAUCUUUCUUUGGCCAUGGACAUAUCGAUCCUUGUGUGUAAAAAGAUAUAUAUAUUUGUGAUGGAGAAUAAAAAUUCAUACCAAUAAGGUAUGUGUUGAUGUUCGAUAAGAAAAAAAAUGCUAUGUUGAUUAAUUUAGUAUUCUGUUUUUCUAAACUAUUUCAAAGUUUAGAGUUAGCUUUGUAUAUAGAGGCUUGUGUAUGUAUACAUGUGUGUGUGUGUGUGUAAACUAUGGUUAAUAUGGAGAAUUAAUAUCUUAGGGCUCUUCUAAAUCAAUUUAGAAAUUCAUGGUUGAAAUUGAGGAUCUACGAGGGUUGUUAAUAUCUAAACAAACGUUGUGACUCAAAACGAAAAGUUUUUAUAGUUGGAGGACUUCUACACAAUAAUGAAAAGUUAAAUACAGAAGGAAGAAUAAAAAGAAAAACGCAAAAAAAAAAAAAAAAAAUUGGAAACCAGAGAUUCGCUUUCCCGGUGUAACCAGAACUAGCAUCAACGUUGUCUCCUCCGGUGAACCCUCUCUCUCUCUUUUCUCGUAAGAUGAUGUUCGAAUUCUCGUGACUAACUCCCGUUUUGGCCUCGAUGAGGCUGAUUAGUCACUGGGCUUGUGCAGUUUAGGGCUCCUCCGUAAUAAUCGGAAUCCCCAUCGGCGUUGGAGAUCGACGAAUUUGGUUAGGCAAACUGGGGAAUUUAUUAAUUGUUGUGUUCUGGUUUAACGAGAAAAGGGCGGAGGAGCUGAUGAUGAUGAUGAUGAUGAUGAUGAUACCAGAUCAUGGAUUUCAUUGGAUCAGGUUGAAUUUUAACUCGAAUCUCUUGUUUUGCUCGUAGACAUGAAAAGUGGGUAGGAUCUUUAAUCAUGCGGCCAUGAUGUUUUGCUAGAUACCCUUAGUGAAUCUUCAGAUUGCUUGAAAUCUGAGAUUGUUCGAUGGGUAUUAGGGAACAUGUGUGUAUCACUCUCCUUGCAUACUAAUUGGAUUGCUAAUGUGUUUUCAUGAUUAUGCAUUGAGAUGUUACACUGAUUAGCUGAUCUUGUGUCAAGAGUUAAAAAUUGCUUGGCUUGCGGGUGACAUAUAUCUCUCCUCUUCAGUUCUUCAAGAAACUCAUUAUGUUCCCCAAGUCUUUGGGAGUUGAGUUAAACCUGUGUUUGAUACUACUAGUUAGGUCUCGCGGAUAUCCGACCACCAACGAACCCGAAGACGGACUGUGGGUUUGACUUCAGGUUUUUCCGAACCAUGAUGGUUUAUCCGUCGGUAUUCGGUUUGGGCUGCGGGUUCACGGGUCUUAGAGACCGAUAUAAUAUCCCAGAACACCCAUGGAUGCGAGGCCGAGACCGGUACCCCAAAAAUCCGGGUACCGACCCCGUCCUACUAGCUGCAGUAGAGACUUAGUGCUUAUAGAUGCUUGUGACGAGUUCUUGAAUCAUUUGUUAUAAGCAAGCUAAUUCUCCGGAUGAGGAAACCUCUAGAUCUGAUCAUUCCUGGUAAUUUUAGGAGCUAAACUUGUUUGAACAUUACCGAUCUGAAUGUUAUGCUGAGAGCCCUCUGAUUUCAGGCGGUUGGAUAUGUUAUGCCAGAAAGCAGCUUGGCUCUUAUAUUCUGCCAUAGAUCUCUUCUGUCAGAGAGUCCCCAACAAGCACUAUUUGGACAAGACAUCGAUAGUCCUUCUCAGAGUUCAGACAUCGUGAAUCCGCGCUCGAAGUGGAACGGAAAACCGUGAGCGAAAACCCGGGCCUGUCCUUGAACGAUCUGAUCAAAAUCCUCGGAGCGGAAUAUACGGAAAAUGCGAGUAGCCGUUUGUUGCCAAUGCAGAGAGUUUCUGUCACUCAGUCCUACUGUUUAGCUCUCUGCUAACCCAUCUUUCAUCCCUUUGAAUUCGGGUUUCGGGUGACGGAUCCGUUCGUGAAUGCAAUAGCGAAGAGAGGCUGUAUGAGAAAUGGCUCGAGGGGACGGGUCGAAAAGUUUUUCGGCCAAACUGAGCUAUUGGUAGAAGCCUAUAGAGAGGUCUGGUCACCGACCGUAGUUGGAUAAUCCUUUAUGCGGAGGUUGUUCUUUCUGCGACUUGUACUUAUUUAUGACAGCGUUUGGGAUGAAUGUUUCCGUAAAACUAUUCAAGGUUUUUUAACACA